Molecule: ribosomal RNA, 466 nt
Filed under: uncultured bacterium
Lineage: Bacteria
Description: partial 16S ribosomal RNA
Rfam family: Bacterial small subunit ribosomal RNA
Source: RNAcentral
AUGCACGCUGACAGAAUGCUUAACACAUGCCAGUCAACUUGAAUUUGGGUUUUUAACUUAGGUUUGGGUGGCGGACGGGUGAGUAACGCGUAAAGAACUUGCCUCACAGCUAGGGACAACAUUUGGAAACGAAUGCUAAUACCUAAUAUUAUGAUAAUAGGGCAUCCUAUAAUUAUGAAAGCUAUAAGCGCUGUGAGAGAGCUUUGCGUCCCAUUAGCUAGUUGGAGAGGUAACGGCUCACCAAGGCGAUGAUGGGUAGCCGGCCUGAGAGGGUGAUCGGCCACAAGGGGACUGAGACACGGCCCUUACUCCUACGGGAGGCAGCAGUGGGGAAUAUUGGACAAUGGACCGAGAGUCUGAUCCAGCAAUUCUGUGUGCACGAUGAAGUUUUUCGGAAUGUAAAGUGCUUUCAGUUGGGAAGAAACAAAUGACGGUACCAACAGAAGAAGUGACGGCUAAAUACGUG